This is a long non-coding RNA of Galleria mellonella (greater wax moth), 478 nucleotides long. RefSeq lists it as uncharacterized. NCBI's taxonomy places the organism in Eukaryota, Metazoa, Arthropoda, Insecta, Lepidoptera, Pyralidae. The transcript has 3 exons. The record is from RefSeq and is a predicted model, not a curated record.
CGUCACACUUUUGUCCAUUCAGUGUUAAAAUCUAAUGGAAUCCACACGCAUACGAGUAUUCUAUUACAGUGAAAUUAAUGAUAACAAUGCAAUACAAAAUACCUGUUCUACUCAUUAAUCAUAUGUGACAUAAGUGUAAUCGUAAACAGUGUUCUUACUUCUGCUGUACUUAAGUGAUAAAAAUAGCUGGUCUGAUAAGGGUUGCUAUAGUUGUAAUCACAGAAUAUCAGCACACAAAAGAAUACGAAAUAUGGUUCGAGAUUUUAAUAACAGGUACCACAAUAAGUACACUUACAAAAAGUCUGUGACAAUAUUGUGUAUACACAAGGACUGCCCUUCUUUUCGGUCUUGAUACGUGACGUGAAAGUAAAAUGGAUUAACCGCUACGAACGCAGGUGUUCUAGACACCUCAGUCCUCAUCGAAUUUGGUGAAGAAAAUGUUGUGCACAUAAUUCAAAGGAAAAUAACAAUAAAAAAC